GCUGAGGCCAGUCCUCUGUGAACUGACCAACUUCUCCCAGUGUAGUUAGUGUACCCACAGCACCAGCCUGCACAAAGGUGCUGCCGGGGACAGUAGGGAGGCUCGCCCACUUUAGAAGCACAUCUGCCGAGCAGAUGGAGGAGGGAUCCUUCGAGCCAUAUGAGCUAUACAACCCUGGGUAAGACAUGGUGGUUUAGGUCAUUCUGCAGCCUGCGUAAAGAGUGUUCAACUGACUGCCAGCAGAAAGCCAGGAUUAAGGAAACUGUCUGAUUAGACUUGAAACCAGAUUCUAAGACACAAAUAAGAUGAAGAAAUUAAAAAAAGAAAGGAAGGAAGGAAAGAAGGAAGAAAGAAAGACAGACAGACCAAAAGAGAGUUGCAGCUUGGUGUGGGCCCUCGGGACCUCUCUGCUCAGCACCUUUGGGAGCCCUUGAGGCAGAGGUGUUGGGAGUCCCCUCUGCUGACCACAUCAAAGCUCACUGCAGAUGGGCCUCCAGAUAUGACUGUUGGGUCAUUGUGACUGCGUGGUUGAGGUGUGAAGACCCAUCCCUGGAGGGCGGCACUGUCCCCUGACUGGGAUCCUGGGCUAAGUGGAGAGAUGGAACUCAACAGCAGCAGGCAUUCACUCACUCUUGCUUCCUGGUUGUGAAUGUCUCGUGAUCGGCGGCUACAGGCUCCUGCUGCCUUGGUGAUGUCCUGAACCCUUCACCUUCCAGUCAUAAUAAAGACUAUAUCCAGUU
Rattus norvegicus (Norway rat) is the source of this 740-nucleotide non-coding RNA. NCBI's taxonomy places the organism in Eukaryota, Metazoa, Chordata, Mammalia, Rodentia, Muridae. The record is from RefSeq and is a predicted model, not a curated record.